UGGGGAAUAUUGCGCAAUGGGGGGAACCCUGACGCAGCCACGCCGCGUGAAUGAAGAAGGCCUUAGGGUUGUAAAGUUCUUUCGGUAUUGAGGAAGGUUGAUGUGUUAAUAGCACAUCAAAUUGACGUUAAAUACAGAAGAAGCACCUGCUAACUCCGUGCCAGCAGCCGCGGUAAUACGGAGGGUGCGAGCGUUAAUCGGAAUAACUGGGCGUAAAGGGCACGCAGGCGGUUAUUUAAGUGAGGUGUGAAAGCCCCGGGCUUAACCUGGGAAUUGCAUUUCAGACUGGGUAACUAGAGUACUUUAGGGAGGGGUAGAAUUCCACGUGUAGCGGUGAAAUGCGUAGAGAUGUGGAGGAAUACCGAAGGCGAAGGCAGCCCCUUGGGAAUGUACUGACGCUCAUGUGCGAAAGCGUGGGGAGCAAACAGGAUUAGAUACCCUGGUAGUCCACGCUGUAAACGCUGUCGAUUUGGGGGUUGGGGUUUAACUCUGGCGCCCGUAGCUAACGUGAUAAAUCGACCGCCUGGGGAGUACGGCCGCAAGGUUA
This 547-nucleotide ribosomal RNA is filed under the name uncultured bacterium. Its description in RNAcentral is "bacterial SSU rRNA". It matches the Rfam family "Bacterial small subunit ribosomal RNA", at positions 355 to 896 of the family's 1533-position model. The record is from RNAcentral.